Molecule: ribosomal RNA, 200 nt
Filed under: uncultured bacterium
Lineage: Bacteria
Description: partial 16S ribosomal RNA
Rfam family: Bacterial small subunit ribosomal RNA
Source: RNAcentral
AACGAACGCUGGCGGCAUGCCUAAUACAUGCAAGUCGAACGAGAUCUUCGGAUCUAGUGGCGCACGGGUGCGUAACGCGUGGGAAUCUACCCAUGGGUUCGGAAUAACAGUUAGAAAUGACUGCUAAUACCGGAUGAUGACGUAAGUCCAAAGAUUUAUCGCCCAGGGAUGAGCCCGCGUAGGAUUAGCUAGUUGGUGAG